This 588-nucleotide long non-coding RNA is filed under the name Rattus norvegicus (Norway rat). Its description in RNAcentral is "long non-coding RNA NONRATT033119". The record is from RNAcentral. Lineage: Eukaryota; Metazoa; Chordata; Mammalia; Rodentia; Muridae.
AGCUAACAUUCUUUUGUUCCCACAGUUCUCUAGGGUAGAUGUGCUUCUUUGGUCCAAGGUGGUUCUGUCCUCUAGAAAGCGAGUUCUGAGUUCUGCAAUGCAGCCAACUGAGCAGUACUGUUUCUGGAGAAAAGGUUGGGAUCACAGCUCCAUAGGCCACCCCUCAGAUGGACUUGUCUCAGCAAGGCAAACUUUACUACUGCUGAGGGCUUGCUACACAAAAAGAGUGAGCAACGUGCUAGAGUUUACUCAAAUUCACCCCCAUGGAUCUCCAGCCUCUUACAGUGUGGGGCAGAGAAAGUAGUGACCCGUUGGGGAAGAAUGGUCGGAUAGCUGACCAGGUACAUGAACAGAUGACCUGGCCUCACAGGAUACUGAAGGAAAAACCCCUGCUUCAGUACUUUUUUAAAUACCCAGACAUAUGACCAUCCCCAAAAGAGUUUAAAACACACAGCAUAACUGCCAUGGCUGACGCUUUUCUCACAGACCACAAUGGAUGACUUUUAACCCCCAAACAGAAAGGCUAUGGAAUAGCAAAACCAAGCUCUGAAUAAAGGGUUAUCCACAUACCUUAAUAACAUUAGAGAG